UCGAGGGAGAGGCGGCACGGCGAAAAGGCGAGCGGACAUUUGGAACUUGCUUCCGGAGGAUUAGCGGCGGACGGGUGAGUAACACGUGGGCAACCUGCCUGUAAGACUGGGAUAACUCCGGGAAACCGGGGCUAAUACCGGAUAAUUCAUUCCCUCUCAUGAGGGAAUGCUGAAAGACGGUUUCUGCUGUCACUUACAGAUGGGCCCGCGGCGCAUUAGCUAGUUGGUGAGGUAACGGCUCACCAAGGCCACGAUGCGUAGCCGACCUGAGAGGGUGAUCGGCCACCCUGGGACUGAAACCCCGCCCAGACUCCUACGGGAGGCAGCAGUAGGGAAUCUUCCGCAAUGGACGAAAGUCUGACGGAACAACCCCGCGUGAGCCAUGAAGGCCUUCGGGUCCUAAAGCUCUGUUGUUAGGGAAGAACAAGUAUCGGAAUAACUGCCGGUACCUUGACCGCACCUAACCAGAAAGCCCCGGCUAACUACGUGCCAGCAGCCGC
RNAcentral lists this ribosomal RNA (500 nucleotides) under Mesobacillus persicus. RNAcentral's name for it is "bacterial SSU rRNA". It matches the Rfam family "Bacterial small subunit ribosomal RNA", at positions 38 to 518 of the family's 1533-position model. The record is from RNAcentral. Lineage: Bacteria; Bacillati; Bacillota; Bacilli; Caryophanales; Bacillaceae.